RNAcentral lists this ribosomal RNA (465 nucleotides) under uncultured bacterium. RNAcentral describes it as "partial 16S ribosomal RNA". It matches the Rfam family "Bacterial small subunit ribosomal RNA", at positions 28 to 507 of the family's 1533-position model. The record is from RNAcentral.
GACGAACGCUGGCGGCGUGCUUAACACAUGCAAGUCGAACGGAAAGGCCCUGCUUGCAGGGUACUCGAGUGGCGAACGGGUGAGUAACACGUGGGUGAUCUGCCCUGCACUUCGGGAUAAGCCUGGGAAACUGGGUCUAAUACCGGAUAGGAGCCAUUUUUAGUGUGAUGGUUGGAAAGUUUUUUCGGUGUAGGAUGAGCUCGCGGCCUAUCAGCUUGUUGGUGGGGUAAUGGCCUACCAAGGCGGCGACGGGUAGCCGGCCUGAGAGGGUGGACGGCCACAUUGGGACUGAGAUACGGCCCAGACUCCUACGGGAGGCAGCAGUGGGGAAGAUUGCACAAUGGGCGCAAGCCUGAUGCAGCGACGCCGCGGGGGGGAUGACGGCCUUCGGGUUGUAAACUCCUUUCGCUAGGGACGAAGCUUUUUGUGACGGUACCUAGAGAAGAAGCACCGGCUAACUACGUG